UCAAUUGUAUUUCGUUGCGUGGUUCGCCUA
RNAcentral lists this non-coding RNA (30 nucleotides) under Bombyx mori (domestic silkworm). Lineage: Eukaryota; Metazoa; Arthropoda; Insecta; Lepidoptera; Bombycidae. The record is from RNAcentral.